RNAcentral lists this transfer RNA (71 nucleotides) under Phrynosoma platyrhinos (Desert horned lizard). Its description in RNAcentral is "tRNA-OTHER". The record is from RNAcentral. Lineage: Eukaryota; Metazoa; Chordata; Lepidosauria; Squamata; Phrynosomatidae.
GCCAGCAUGGCAUAGUGGUUUGAGUGUUAGACUACAACUCUGGAGACCAGGAUUUGAUUCCUAGUUUGGCC